This 208-nucleotide ribosomal RNA is filed under the name uncultured bacterium. Its description in RNAcentral is "partial 16S ribosomal RNA". It matches the Rfam family "Bacterial small subunit ribosomal RNA", at positions 1293 to 1500 of the family's 1533-position model. The record is from RNAcentral.
UCGGAUCGCAGGCUGNAACCCGCCUGCGUGAAGUUGGAAUCGCUAGUAAUCGCGGAUCAGCAUGCCGCGGUGAAUACGUUCCCGGGCCUUGUACACACCGCCCGUCACACCAUGAGAGUCGGGAACACCCGAAGUCCGUAGCCUAACCGCAAGGGGGGCGCGGCCGAAGGUGGGUUCGAUAAUUGGGGUGAAGUCGUAACAAGGUACC